CAGUCGCCGCGGUAAUACAGAGGGUGCAAGCGUUAAUCGGAAUUACUGGGCGUAAAGCGCGCGUAGGUGGUUUGUUAAGUUGGAUGUGAAAUCCCUGAGCUUAACUUAGGAAUUGCAUUCGAUACUGGGAAGCUAGAGUAUGGGAGAGGAUGGUAGAAUUCCAGGUGUAGCGGUGAAAUGCGUAGAGAUCUGGAGGAAUACCGAUGGCGAAGGCAGCCAUCUGGCCUAAUACUGACGCUGAGGUACGAAAGCAUGGGGAGCAAACAGGAUUAGAUACCCGCGUAGUCCCUGUCUCUUAUAC
RNAcentral lists this ribosomal RNA (301 nucleotides) under uncultured bacterium. Its description in RNAcentral is "partial 16S ribosomal RNA". It matches the Rfam family "Bacterial small subunit ribosomal RNA", at positions 509 to 807 of the family's 1533-position model. The record is from RNAcentral.